UUGUAGUCAUAUGCUUGUCUCAAAGAUUAAGCCAUGCAUGUCUAAGUAUAAGCAAUCUAUACGGUGAAACUGCGAAUGGCUCAUUAAAUCAGUUAUCGUUUAUUUGAUAGUACCUUACUACAUGGAUAACCGUGGUAAUUCUAGAGCUAAUACAUGCUAAAAACCCCGACUUCGGGAGGGGUGUAUUUAUUAGAUAAAAGACCAACGCCCUUCGGGGCUCCCUGGUGAUUCAUGAUAACUUAACGAAUCGCAUGGCCUUGCGCCGGCGAUGGUUCAUUCAAAUUUCUGCCCUAUCAACUUUCGAUGGUAGGAUAGUGGCCUACCAUGGUAUCAACGGGUAACGGGGAAUUAGGGUUCGAUUCCGGAGAGGGAGCCUGAGAAACGGCUACCACAUCCAAGGAAGGCAGCAGGCGCGCAAAUUACCCAAUCCCGACACGGGGAGGUAGUGACAAUAAAUACUGAUACAGGGCUCUUUUGGGUCUUGUAAUUGGAAUGAGUACAAUUUAAAUCCCUUAACGAGGAACAAUUGGAGGGCAAGUCUGGUGCCAGCAGCCGCGGUAAUUCCAGCUCCAAUAGCGUAUAUUAAAGUUGUUGCAGUUAAAAAGCUCGUAGUUGAACCUNGGGCCUGGCUGGCCGGUCCGCCUCACCGCGUGCACUGGUCCGGCCGGGCCUUUCCUCCUGGGGAUCCGCAUGCCCUUCACUGGGUGUGCCGGGGAACCAGGACUUUUACUUUGAAAAAAUUAGAGUGUUCAAAGCAGGCCUAUGCUCGAAUACAUUAGCAUGGAAUAAUAGAAUA
Molecule: ribosomal RNA, 796 nt
Filed under: Lichenothelia intermixta
Lineage: Eukaryota; Fungi; Ascomycota; Dothideomycetes; Lichenotheliales; Lichenotheliaceae
Description: SSU rRNA
Rfam family: Eukaryotic small subunit ribosomal RNA
Source: RNAcentral